GACGAACGCUGGCGGCGUGCUUAACACAUGCAAGUCGAGCGGAGCGGUGAACGGGUGAGGAACGCGUGCGUAACUGCCCCCCUCUCUGGGAUAACAGUUGGAAACGGAUGCUAAUACCGGAUAGUGGGGGCUGACUCGCGUCCUAUCCGCUUGUUGGUUGGGUAGUGGCCUACCAAGGGGACGACGGGUAGCCGGCCUGAGAGGGCGACCGGGCACCUUGUGCUGAGGUACGGCCCAAACUCCAACGGGAGGCAGCAGUGGAGAAUAUGGCCCAGUGGGGGAGACCCUGAGGCAGCGACGCCGCGUGCGGGAUGACGGCCUUCGGGGUGUAAACCGCUUUCAGCCAUGACGCGGUAGUGUCAGAAGAAGCACCGGCUAACUACGUGCCAGCAGCCGCGGUAAUUC
This 405-nucleotide ribosomal RNA is filed under the name uncultured bacterium. RNAcentral's name for it is "partial 16S ribosomal RNA". It matches the Rfam family "Bacterial small subunit ribosomal RNA", at positions 28 to 526 of the family's 1533-position model. The record is from RNAcentral.